AUGUCCCCAUGAGUUCCCUUUAACGCUUCAUUGUAAAUACUCAGAAAACCAUUUAUUUGAUUAUGUAAUUAACACUGAAGUGUUUGGGGGGACUCUUGGUGCCAU
This 105-nucleotide microRNA precursor is filed under the name Eutrema salsugineum. Its description in RNAcentral is "mir-395 microRNA precursor family". It matches the Rfam family "mir-395 microRNA precursor family". From Rfam's summary of the family: mir-395 was identified in both Arabidopsis thaliana and Oryza sativa computationally and was later experimentally verified. mir-395 is thought to target mRNAs coding for ATP sulphurylases. The mature sequence is excised from the 3' arm of the hairpin. Lineage: Eukaryota; Viridiplantae; Streptophyta; Magnoliopsida; Brassicales; Brassicaceae. The record is from Rfam by way of RNAcentral.